UACGUAGGUGGCAAGCGUUGUCCGGAAUUAUUGGGCGUAAAGCGCGCGCAGGCGGUUCCUUAAGUCUGAUGUGAAAGCCCCCGGCUCAACCGGGGAGGGUCAUUGGAAACUGGGGAACUUGAGUGCAGAAGAGAAGAGUGGAAUUCCACGUGUAGCGGUGAAAUGCGUAGAGAUGUGGAGGAACACCAGUGGCGAAGGCGACUCUUUGGUCUGUAACUGACUCUGAGGCGCGAAAGCGUGGGGAGCAAACAGG
RNAcentral lists this ribosomal RNA (253 nucleotides) under uncultured bacterium. RNAcentral's name for it is "partial 16S ribosomal RNA". It matches the Rfam family "Bacterial small subunit ribosomal RNA", at positions 524 to 776 of the family's 1533-position model. The record is from RNAcentral.